AAAGUCGUAACAAGGUUUCCGUAGGUGAACCUGCGGAAGGAUCAUUACCGAGAACCGGCGCCCUCGCGGCCCGACCCUCAAACCACUGCGUACCUAUCUCCAAACGUUGCCUCGGCGGGCAGGGGCUCGCCCCUCCCGCCGCCGGGCCCAAACAUAACCGUUUUCGUGUGACGAACGUCUGAUAUUCUUCUUCGCGAAUGCGAUAAAGUACAACUUUCAACAAUGGAUCUCUUGGCUCCG
This 240-nucleotide unclassified non-coding RNA is filed under the name Ascomycota sp. Its description in RNAcentral is "partial contains small subunit ribosomal RNA, internal transcribed spacer 1, and 5.8S ribosomal RNA". The stretch from base 1 to 47 matches the Rfam family "Eukaryotic small subunit ribosomal RNA", at positions 1785 to 1831 of the family's 1831-position model. The record is from RNAcentral. Lineage: Eukaryota; Fungi; Ascomycota.